GUAUUUCCGCCGGCGCGAAACGAGCGUAGCUUCCUUGUCGUGUGGCCUCAGUCCUUCGCCGUCCCUCGCCGUCCUUCGCCAUCGCACGCCACCGCACCCCAUCUCUCGAAAUCUGCAGACAUCUUGAUUUUUCCCACGCUGUCUGUCAGGUCUCCGCCGCCACUCGACGCCAGGGCGCCGGGUGAGUCCACAGCAGGGCGCAUGGUCGGCUCCACUCUCACCAUCGGGGGAAACUGAGGCCCCGGGGAAGGCGGCCAGAGAGGUCAGGCCCUGUCCUUGGUGCAGUGUCUCGUCCUCUUUGCCGGAGUGAGCCCCCCAGGAUUCGCGUGUCCUCGGGAAAGACACUGGCAGGCCUUGUGGGCUGUGCUGCACCUCGGACGGCUUCGCACCAGCCAGCGCCCUCUCUCUCCUGCAGCACUCUGAUCUGCACCCCCUGAGGGGCUUCCACUGUCCGCGGGGUGAGAAUGCCCCUGGGAGUGUCACAUGACUGCCGCCCCAUGUGUGUGAGAGGCGUCCUCUGGGAGAGCAUGGAUCCUGAGGUCCCAGGAUUGUCAGCUGACCUCUGUCCUGUGUGCCCAGUGGCCCCAGGUGACGUGUCUUCAAGAAGAGGCUGAGCUGCGGUGCUUGUAAGGUCUCAGCCUUAGAUCCAAGGACAGUCCAAGGAAGUCCUAAGACCAUGGAGUUGGUGAUCUGGGAUCUGGGUUUGCUGAUAUUUCUCACCGUGAAUCUCUUGGUGGUGUUUGUGGGCACGAGAGGGGCAGAGAAUGGAGAGUGAGGCUACCACAUGAAGCGUCACCAGAGCUGCUCCCUGCUGCCUGCUCAGAGCACCCCGGAUCCACUGUUCAAUCUGCACAAGAUUCGGGGUCCAGACAUGGGAGACUUCAGCUGCCUCAGAGGACCGUGGACAGGGAAGGCCAGCCUCGCAUCCCUCUGUCCAUGCCUGGAAUGACUUUAAUAACCAAGAGUUUUAUUUUUGAAUUUGUAGCUGUCGUUCACUUUUUACCCACCCAUUCAAUAAACCUUACAGAAUUGCUCCA
This 1037-nucleotide long non-coding RNA is filed under the name Homo sapiens (human). Its description in RNAcentral is "HSALNT0400882". The record is from RNAcentral. Lineage: Eukaryota; Metazoa; Chordata; Mammalia; Primates; Hominidae.